UACGAAGGGGGCUAGCGUUGCUCGGAAUCACUGGGCGUAAAGCGCACGUAGGCGGAUUGUUAAGUCAGGGGUGAAAUCCUGGAGCUCAACUCCAGAACUGCCUUUGAUACUGGCGAUCUUGAGUCCGGGAGAGGUGAGUGGAACUCCGAGUGUAGAGGUGAAAUUCGUAGAUAUUCGGAAGAACACCAGUGGCGAAGGCGGCUCACUGGCCCGGUACUGACGCUGAGGUGCGAAAGCGUGGGGAGCGAACAGG
RNAcentral lists this ribosomal RNA (253 nucleotides) under uncultured bacterium. Its description in RNAcentral is "partial 16S ribosomal RNA". It matches the Rfam family "Bacterial small subunit ribosomal RNA", at positions 524 to 776 of the family's 1533-position model. The record is from RNAcentral.